GAUGAACGCUGGCGGCGUGCCUAACACAUGCAAGUCGAGCGGCAGCGAGGGGUGCUUGCACCCUGUCGGCGAGAGGCGGACGGCUGAGUAACGCGUGGGAACGUGCCCCAAAGUGAGGAAUAACUGCUCGAAAGGGUAGCUAAUACCGCAUAUUAUCUUCGGAUCAAAGGAUUUAUCCGCUUUGGGAGCGGCUCGCGGCGGAUUAGGUUGGUGGUGAGGUCAUGGCUCACCAAGCCGACGAGGCGUAGCUGGCAUGAGAGGAUGGCUCGGCAGCCUUGAACUGAGGCACCGGCCAGGCUCCUACGGGGAGCAGCAGUUGGGAAUCUUCCACCAUUGGCGAAAGCCUGAUGGUGCAACGCCGCGGGCAGGACGAAGGCCUUCGGGUUGGAAACUGCUUUUAUAAGUGAGGAAUAUGACGGUAACUUAUGAAUGAGGAUCGGCUUACUACGUU
Molecule: ribosomal RNA, 451 nt
Filed under: uncultured bacterium
Lineage: Bacteria
Description: partial 16S ribosomal RNA
Rfam family: Bacterial small subunit ribosomal RNA
Source: RNAcentral